GCGGGCGUGGCGGAGUUGGCAGACGCAGGGAACUUAAAAUUCCCCGGGCGAGAGCCCGCGUGGGUUCGAAUCCCACCGCCCGCACCG
RNAcentral lists this transfer RNA (87 nucleotides) under Nitriliruptor sp. RNAcentral's name for it is "tRNA-Leu". It matches the Rfam family "tRNA". Rfam says of the family: Transfer RNA (tRNA) molecules are approximately 80 nucleotides in length. Their secondary structure includes four short double-helical elements and three loops (D, anti-codon, and T loops). The record is from RNAcentral. Lineage: Bacteria; Bacillati; Actinomycetota; Nitriliruptoria; Nitriliruptorales; Nitriliruptoraceae.